GAGAAAAGAACGAUGCCGUUGACAGUGAGCUGAAGUGGGCUCUGCUACCUACACACUCCUCCAGCCCCUAGUUUAUUCUUUCUUAUACACCUGAUGUCAUACUGCCCAAAUUCCUGUAUUAGCAUCAUGCCUUAAAUCCUGCAGCAGACCACCCAUAGAUUUCUGGUGGUGUCACAUGCAUCUCAGCACAUACCUGCCCACACACACCACCUGAAAACCAGCACAGGGCCUUGUUCAUAAGAGAGCCACAGAAUCAGAUUUUAUUAUCUGUUUAGAAAAAUUCUGUGAAAUGGAAGUAGAAAAGAAAAGGACUGGUCGACUGUCUACCCAAUGCUGUGCAGUGCUUCUCUUCCCUUUGCCCCUGGUGGAGAGGAAAGGAGCCCCUCCUCCCCACUCAUGCUUUGUCACCCUCCCCAGGAAAGGUGAAUCAGCGCUGCAGCCGCCCAGGCCCACGCCCUGCAGGUGCACACCCAGCUCCAGCAUGAAUCAGCCCCCAGCUCACAGAGCAGUGAUGACCACCCUCCUAGGUCCUGCCCAGAAGAGAGGGAUGAACCGGGAGGCAUGUCUGCACCUGGGGAAGCUGCAGAGCGUAACAUCCAGGGUCAGUUAGAGGAUUCAGAAGCAGAUGGCACUACCCCGCCAGGCUCUGGCCUCAGGAAAACCUGGGGACACAUCAGUCACCACGGCAUGGUCGUGAGGGGUCAGGCGCCCUGUGUAGAGCACCCACCCAGCCUGGCACCUGGUAAGAGCACAAGCCUGCCGUCCUUCUUCCCUCCUGAAUCCAAGGAAGCCAGAAAAAGCCAGGCUCCUGGAGAAAAACCAUUUCUUCCUCAAUCCUGCAUUUUGGGGCCAUUAGAGUUUACCUUGAAUGAUGUCAGAGAUGAGUGCCAAGUUUGGAAUUAUUUUUCUUAAAAUGUACACAAAUUCUCUGGUGACUACUUAGAGCAGAUGAGUAUAGUUAAAGAGUGAGUUUGUGAAAAGACAGAACAGACAUUCCUGGUCAGUAGCUACAGGAAGCCAGCACCUGGCUCCAGCCCAGCUCUGCAGGCUCACGCGGUUCCCUAUCUUCCUCCUUACAACAAGGCUCUAAUGAUCAAAGCCUAAACUGCAGGAUCUCUAUGUGAAGAGAAAAGAGAGAUUCACAGCUUUGAAAGCACUUUCAAACAUUUGGAAAAGAGGAGGUGUCAAAUAGUUAACUCGCUAGGUAUGUUCUGGGAAGUUAGGCCAUGACACUUUCUAAACAUUCUGAAAAGGAUGCCAAAUGCCAAAUUUUGCAAGGCAAUGGCUAUGGGAAAGGCAAACCCAGGGGUCGAUGGAACCUGUCCUUUGU
This is a long non-coding RNA of Manis pentadactyla (Chinese pangolin), 1330 nucleotides long. RefSeq lists it as uncharacterized. NCBI's taxonomy places the organism in Eukaryota, Metazoa, Chordata, Mammalia, Pholidota, Manidae. The transcript is spliced from 3 exons. The record is from RefSeq and is a predicted model, not a curated record.